Molecule: ribosomal RNA, 253 nt
Filed under: uncultured bacterium
Lineage: Bacteria
Description: partial 16S ribosomal RNA
Rfam family: Bacterial small subunit ribosomal RNA
Source: RNAcentral
UACAGAGGGGGCAAGCGUUAUUCGGAAUUAUUGGGCGUAAAGGGCGCGUAGGCGGCUUUGCAAGUGACGGGUGAAAUCCCUCGGCUUAACCGAGGAACUGCCUGUCAGACUGCAUGGCUUGAGACCGGGAGAGGUGAGUGGAAUUCCCAGUGUAGCGGUGAAAUGCGUAGAUAUUGGGAGGAACACCAGUGGCGAAGGCGGCUCACUGGACCGGUACUGACGCUGAGGCGCGAAAGCUAGGGGAGCAAACAGG